AAUGAACGCUGGCGGCGUGCCUAACACAUGCAAGUUGAGCGGUAAGGCCCCUUCGGGGGUACACGAGCAGCGAACGGGUGAGUAUCGCGUGGGUAAUCUACCUAGAGGUGGGGGAUAGCCUCGGGAAACCGAGGGUAAUACCGCAUGAGUCCUCGACGACACAAGUCGACGAGGGGAAAGGCGGGGCUCCUUCGGGACCUGUCGCCUUUGGAUGAGCCCGCGUCCGAUUAGCUAGUUGGUGGGGUAAUGGCCUACCAAGGCAGCGAUCGGUAGCCGGCCUGAGAGGGUGAACGGCCACAUUGGGACUGAGACACGGCCCAGACUCCUACGGGAGGCAGCAGUGGGGAAUUUUGGGCAAUGGGGGAAACCCUGACCCAGCGACGCCGCGUGGAGGAUGACGGCCUUCGGGUUGUAAACUCCUGUCAGGUGGGAAGAAGAGCCAGUCGGAUAAUACCCGGCAGGAAUUGACGGUACCACCAAAGGAAGCCCCGGCUAACUCCGUG
Molecule: ribosomal RNA, 503 nt
Filed under: uncultured Acidobacteriota bacterium
Lineage: Bacteria; Pseudomonadati; Acidobacteriota
Description: bacterial SSU rRNA
Rfam family: Bacterial small subunit ribosomal RNA
Source: RNAcentral